AUUUUUUUUCAGGUCUUCCGACUCAGUGAUGACAGCAGGAUUUUGUUGGAAUGCCCCACACGGGUCAGGAUUUUACUAUGAAUAUACUUACACAAUGCCUCUCCCAUGAAGGAGAAAAGAACAUUGAACAUAAGGAGCAAGAAAGUUUAACGACAAAUGCAAGUUUUCUUUUCCUUCUUCAUUGAGGAUAAAAAGUAAAUUUUCCAAAUCUUAACUAUAUUUUCCAGGAAAGUCUCUUUUAUUCUGCGUUUUCUAGUUUGGAAUUCAAGAUGUAGAAAGUGGUGCUAUCUCACCUUAAAUCACGCCUGUGGGCCUCUGGUAGACCUGGUGUUCACUGGAAACUGAAGUGUCAGCGACUGGAAAUGGAGUGACCAUCUCUUCCUGGUCUACCUUCCCAGCUUUAGCACUGACAGUCCCGUGCCCCAGAAACCCCUCAGUCUCAGGCAGCCGGGGGUGGCUGCUGGCCCUGCUGGAAAUCCCCAAGGCUGCAGCCACAGCAAGGCUAGAGAUAGGAGCAGACUCUCUUUCCACGGAAAAGAAUAAUAGAAACUACCAGGCGGGGUCAUCGGAGGGUGAAGUCAGAACGUCUGUAUCAAGGACUAACAAGGCCCCUGUCACGUCCAACCCCGUCAAAGGCUCUAGAGGGAGAGCUCACAGCAGCAUGACACAGUCACACCCCAAAACGGCUCUUUCUUCGGCGGCACAGUUUCAAUGGAAAGUCAAACUCGGAAACUUUACAAACGGGAUCCUAAAUAGGACAUUUUAACACUCCAGUACUUUAGGAUAUAGGCAGUAGAAACAGAAUUGUUUUAAAUCAAGUGAAUUUCUUAGAUUCAUCAGAAGUAUGUGAAUUAGAGUUACAGGACUAUUAAUAAAACAAUUCUAUUCCUCAA
Molecule: long non-coding RNA, 893 nt
Organism: Cercocebus atys (sooty mangabey)
Lineage: Eukaryota; Metazoa; Chordata; Mammalia; Primates; Cercopithecidae
Exons: 2
Source: RefSeq, a predicted model, not a curated record